Molecule: ribosomal RNA, 253 nt
Filed under: uncultured bacterium
Lineage: Bacteria
Description: partial 16S ribosomal RNA
Rfam family: Bacterial small subunit ribosomal RNA
Source: RNAcentral
UACGAAGGGGGCUAGCGUUGCUCGGCAUCGGUGGGCGUAAAGCGCACGCCGGCGGAUCCAUAUGUCGGGGGUGAAAGCCCGGGGCUCAACCUCGGAAUUGCCUUCGAUACUGUCGGUCUCGAGUCCGGGAGAGGUGAGUGGAAUUCCUAGUGUAGAGGUGACAUUGGGAGAUAUUAGGAAGUACACCAGUGGCGAAGGCGGCUCACUGGCCCUGUACUGACGCUCAGGUGCGAAAGCGUGGGGAGCAAACAGG